Molecule: long non-coding RNA, 68 nt
Organism: Amblyraja radiata (thorny skate)
Lineage: Eukaryota; Metazoa; Chordata; Chondrichthyes; Rajiformes; Rajidae
Exons: 3
Source: RefSeq, a predicted model, not a curated record
GAGAAUAUACAAACUCCGACAGACAGCAUUCAUUGUCAUGAUCGAAUUGGGGUCUCUGACGUUGCAAG